RNAcentral lists this ribosomal RNA (305 nucleotides) under uncultured bacterium. RNAcentral describes it as "bacterial SSU rRNA". It matches the Rfam family "Bacterial small subunit ribosomal RNA", at positions 333 to 638 of the family's 1533-position model. The record is from RNAcentral.
GAACCUACGGGGGGCAGCAGUGAGGAAUAUUGGUCAAUGGUCGGGAGACUGAACCAGCCAAGCCGCGUGAGGGAGGAAGGUACAGAGUAUCGUAAACCUCUUUUGUCAGGGAACAAAGGCGGGGACGUGUCCCCGGACGAGUGUACCUGAAGAAAAAGCACCGGCUAACUCCGUGCCAGCAGCCGCGGUAAUACGGAGGAUGCGAGCGUUAUCCGGAUUUAUUGGGUUUAAAGGGUGCGCAGGCGGUCUGUUAAGUCAGCGGUCAAGUCCCGGGGCGCAACCCCGGCCCGCCGUUUAACCUGUCA